UAUUGUAAGACUACCUUUGCUAUAGAUACUUAUAUGAUUCUUCUGUCCCCGUUAACAAACUACAGCUGCUCUGUGUUCCGAUGCCAACCAAGGAAUUUUCGGUCAACAGUAGAACUGAGAUACUAAGGCUGGAGUGGCCUGUGCAGUUCAUAAAAGUCUUCUCCAUUCAGCUCGUUCCAUGGUUGCACGUCGCCAACCACGCACUCUACGGAGGGUCCGCAAAUCGUCUUCCUUGGUCGCUGCGCACCUCGCUUUCUUGUGCCCGUCGGAUCGUUGGCAAGAACCAUUUACAUCGGAUUAAUGUCCGACACCGUAGUCGUUCGAUUUUCGCGGUUUGAACGAUGGAUGGGUCUCCCAACAGCUGAUGCAACUCGUUGUUCAUUCACCUCUCCCGCGUACCAUCCGCCAUCUGCACCCCGCCAUAGAUGGUACAUUUCACUCUAUUGAUUCUAAAAUGUGGACCUUUUUACGGAAAGAUGACAGACGAAGAUGCCGUAUAAUUAGAGGCUUUUUGUUCUUUGCUAAAUAUCUUCUUGUGCAGCACUCACGGUUCCAUUUUUUAUAAGUUGCCUUUCAUGUGCACUAUACAGCAUGUCGUUUAGACAAAUCCGAAUGGGAACAGAAAUGAAAUGCUGCCUAAAUAGAUCUUCUCAACCCUAUCAAGUAAUUGACUGGAACAACAUCGAAAAAUGCUUAUUAUUUAUAUUCAGUUGUAAUUAUUGCAUACCGAAAAAAAUGAAAAUGAAAAGAUAAUACAAACAAAAUAUAUCUAAUAAAAUGUUAACAUUAUACAUUAAACAAA
Molecule: long non-coding RNA, 802 nt
Organism: Armigeres subalbatus
Lineage: Eukaryota; Metazoa; Arthropoda; Insecta; Diptera; Culicidae
Exons: 4
Source: RefSeq, a predicted model, not a curated record